UACGAACCGAGCGAACGUUAUUCGGAAUCACUGGGCUUAAAGGGCGCGUAGGCGGGCCGCCAAGUCAGGGGUGAAAGCCCCAGCUCAACUGGGGAAGUGCCUUUGAUACUGGCGGUCUCGAGGGGGAUAGGGGCGUGCGGAACUUCCGGUGGAGCGGUGAAAUGCGUAGAUAUCGGAAGGAACACCGGUGGCGAAAGCGGCGCGCUGGAUCCCUUCUGACGCUGAGGCGCGAAAGCCAGGGGAGCGAACGGG
Molecule: ribosomal RNA, 252 nt
Filed under: uncultured bacterium
Lineage: Bacteria
Description: partial 16S ribosomal RNA
Rfam family: Bacterial small subunit ribosomal RNA
Source: RNAcentral